UCUUCUGAUUUAAUUAAUUGUAGGAAUCAUCGAGAGGUGUUUUAUAUCGAUGAAUAUGAACAUUAACUUUGUUUAGUCUUAUUUGUCCGCAUUGCGACUUUUUUAUCUAAACUACGCAUGCGUAAAAGUCAGUUCUACAAAAUUCUUGACAAUUUAUUCAUUUUACAACGCAACGACAACGGAUGACGACGUGCAUUUUGAUUUAAAAAAAAAUACCUUCAGAAUCGGGUGUUUUGACGAUGCCACUUACAGAUUACACCAAGAUGCCUCAGUUCAAGUUUUUACUAUGAAAUCCGGAUAAUAUUCUUAUGUUUCGGAGUUUCCCGUUAACAGGUUUCGAACUCGGAAGGAUUUUACCCCAGCCACUCCUUAAAACAACGACAGACACUCGCUCAAACGACGCAGGACUAGGUGGACAAAUGGUAAUAAACCACUGAUGAAAUUACGGAUUCUGUUGGAAUUUCGUGAGCGAAAUUUUGUGCUUAAUGCGGAAAAAUGGAUAUUUCAAUAAACAAAAAGCUCAAGGUUGUGUUUAAGAAAACGCAUUCUUCUCAUUAAUUCUUUGUGUCCAUUGGAUUCUAUUUUAUGUUCCGUGAAUCAAGCAUUGGGAAAUGAAUCUAUUAUAUAGCAAUGAACGGUGAAUUCAGGAACUUUAUGAUCGGAGCCACGGAUGCGCGUCUACAGUAAUGAAUCUGAGACAUUCAAUUCACUGGAUUUUUUGUGCCAUUUUCAAUAGGAUUUUUUUGUGAAAUACUAACAUUUAACGCUACUAUUUUCCUACCCUGUUCAUAUUAAAUUGUUAGAUUUUUCAUUGCCUUUAAGUGCUGUUUACUUAUUUGCCUCGCUCUUUGUUCUCAUUUUAACGUUACCUGUACCUGUCCAAUAAGUUGAAACUUAUUGGACACCUACAGGUAACUUAUUGGACGGGGUGCAGGACAAUAACAAAUUUAUUGAACCAGGUUUAACAAAAGAUGACGUCACAGAAAUGUUUUAAGACAGAAUUAUAUUUUG
Saccostrea cuccullata (small rock oyster) is the source of this 1011-nucleotide long non-coding RNA. RefSeq lists it as uncharacterized. The transcript has 2 exons. Lineage: Eukaryota; Metazoa; Mollusca; Bivalvia; Ostreida; Ostreidae. The record is from RefSeq and is a predicted model, not a curated record.